GCGAGUGAAAUUGAAAUAUGAAUAAAAAUAAAAAAUAAACACUAGUUUUGUUAAUGUGAAUGCAAAAAAAUAAACACAAUUGAUGCUCUUCUAUUGUCAUUUCCCUUUUAUGUAGGAGCAAAUUCUAGCGUUUUAUGAUAAAGCAAUGCUCUCUCCUAUUGACAAGAGUUGGAGGAAGCUUUCUCUAUCUCUCUGCAAAACACACUCAGAUUCAGAACGAGCUGUGUUCAUCUUCAUUAUUACUCAUCAUCAUCACCUGCUAAGGCUGUUGUUUGUGAAAUUGCCUCUAAUGGCACGAGCUUCUUUGCAUUGCCAUUGUAAAAUUGCCUUGGGUGUUACAUUGGGAUAGAAUUAAUUUCUAUUACCUUCUUUUUAGUACCAAUGUUUGAGCUACAUCCCCUUGUUUUAGUACCAACGUUUAAUCCUUUGAAAAUUUCUGAUGUAAUUACAACUUCUUGGUUUGAUUUUGGUUGA
Diospyros lotus (date-plum) is the source of this 474-nucleotide long non-coding RNA. RefSeq lists it as uncharacterized. The transcript has 2 exons. Lineage: Eukaryota; Viridiplantae; Streptophyta; Magnoliopsida; Ericales; Ebenaceae. The record is from RefSeq and is a predicted model, not a curated record.